UUAAAGGAAUUGACGGAAGGGCACCACCAGGAAUGGAGCCUGCGGCUUAAUUUGACUCAACACGGGAAAACUUACCCGGCCCGGACACAGGAAGGAUUGACAGAUUAAGAGCUCUUUCUUGAUUCUGUGGGUGGUGGUGCAUGGCCGUUCUUAGUUGGUGGAGCGAUUUGUCUGGUUAAUUCCGAUAACGAACGAGACUCUAGCCUACUAAAUAGACGUUCCGAUCCACUGCGUCGGACGUUCUUCUUAGAGGGACAAGCGGCGUUUAGCCGCACGAGACAGAGCAAUAACAGGUCAGUGAUGCCCUUAGAUGUUCGGGGCCGCACGCGCGCUACAUUGAAGGAAUCAGCGUGUGCUUUCCCUGUCCGACAGGACUGGGUAACCCGUUGAAACUCUUUCGUGCUGGGGAUAGGGAGUUGUAAUUGUCUCCCUUGAACGAGGAAUUCCCAGUAAGCGCGAGUCAUAAGCUCGCGUUGAUUACGUCCCUGCCCUUUGUACACACCGCCCGUCGCUACUACCGAUUGAACGAUUUAGUGAGGUCUUCGGACUGGCGCUCGGAGCGGCUUUCGGGUCGUGCCGGCGUGCCGGAAAGAUGACCGAACUUGACCGUUUAGAGGAAGUAAAAGUCGUAACAAGGUUUCC
RNAcentral lists this ribosomal RNA (642 nucleotides) under Portia africana. Its description in RNAcentral is "SSU rRNA". It matches the Rfam family "Eukaryotic small subunit ribosomal RNA", at positions 1144 to 1804 of the family's 1831-position model. Lineage: Eukaryota; Metazoa; Arthropoda; Arachnida; Araneae; Salticidae. The record is from RNAcentral.